Molecule: ribosomal RNA, 495 nt
Filed under: uncultured bacterium
Lineage: Bacteria
Description: partial 16S ribosomal RNA
Rfam family: Bacterial small subunit ribosomal RNA
Source: RNAcentral
UGACCGCUGGCGGCGUGCCUAAUACAUGCAAGUCGAGCGAACAGACGAGGAGCUUGCUCCUCUGACGUUAGCGGCGGACGGGUGAGUAACACGUGGAUAACCUACCUAUAAGACUGGGAUAACUUCGGGAAACCGGAGCUAAUACCGGAUAAUAUAUUGAACCGCAUGGUUCAAUAGUGAAAGACGGUUUUGCUGUCACUUAUAGAUGGAUCCGCGCCGCAUUAGCUAGUUGGUAAGGUAACGGCUUACCAAGGCAACGAUGCGUAGCCGACCUGAGAGGGUGAUCGGCCACACUGGAACUGAGACACGGUCCAGACUCCUACGGGAGGCAGCAGUAGGGAAUCUUCCGCAAUGGGCGAAAGCCUGACGGAGCAACGCCGCGUGAGUGAUGAAGGUCUUCGGAUCGUAAAACUCUGUUAUUAGGGAAGAACAAAUGUGUAAGUAACUAUGCACGUCCUGACGGUACCUAAUCAGAAAGCCACGGCUAACUACGUG